GUGGAAGGGGGCUUGCUCCCGAUGGCGAUGGGUCAGUCACCAGAUGCAGUGACUGACACUCUGACAUCGGGAGCAAGCCCCCUCCCAC
This 88-nucleotide unclassified non-coding RNA is filed under the name Pseudomonas poae. The record is from RNAcentral. Lineage: Bacteria; Pseudomonadati; Pseudomonadota; Gammaproteobacteria; Pseudomonadales; Pseudomonadaceae.